UGAGGAACAUGACCUUCGGCGGGGAUAGCCGGCCCAACGGCCGGGUAAUACCGCGUACGACCUUUUGGGGACAUCCCUGAGUGGUGAAAGCAGCAAUGCGCCGAUGGAGUGCCUCGCGGCCUAUCAGCUAGUUGGUGAGGUAAUGGCUCACCAAGGCGACGACGGGUAGCCGGCCUGAGAGGGCGAUCGGCCACACUGGGACUGAGACACGGCCCAGACUCCGUACGGGAGGNAGCG
Molecule: ribosomal RNA, 237 nt
Filed under: uncultured bacterium
Lineage: Bacteria
Description: partial 16S ribosomal RNA
Rfam family: Bacterial small subunit ribosomal RNA
Source: RNAcentral